This 497-nucleotide ribosomal RNA is filed under the name uncultured bacterium. Its description in RNAcentral is "partial 16S ribosomal RNA". It matches the Rfam family "Bacterial small subunit ribosomal RNA", at positions 28 to 507 of the family's 1533-position model. The record is from RNAcentral.
GAUGAACGCUGGCGGCGUGCCUAAUACAUGCAAGUCGAGCGAACAGACGAGGAGCUUGCUCCUCUGACGUUAGCGGCGGACGGGUGAGUAACACGUGGAUAACCUACCUAUAAGACUGGGAUAACUUCGGGAAACCGGAGCUAAUACCGGAUAAUAUAUUGAACCGCAUGGUUCAAUAGUGAAAGACGGUUUUGCUGUCACUUAUAGAUGGAUCCGCGCCGCAUUAGCUAGUUGGUAAGGUAACGGCUUACCAAGGCAACGAUGCGUAGCCGACCUGAGAGGGGGUGAGGCAAAAUGGGACCUGACACCGGGACCGCACACCUACGGGAGGAACAAGUAGGGAUUUGUCGGAAAGGGGCGAAAGCCUAACGGAUCACUGCUGAGGGAGUAACAAAGGUUUUAGUACCGAAAAACUCUUUUAUAAGGAAAAAACAAAUGUGAACGAAAUAAUGCCCGCCUGCAGGUUACCUAAUAAGAAGGCCACGGCUAAGUAGGUC